Cyprinus carpio carpio is the source of this 460-nucleotide long non-coding RNA. Lineage: Eukaryota; Metazoa; Chordata; Actinopteri; Cypriniformes; Cyprinidae. The record is from Ensembl.
CCCCUCUUAAAGAUAAGCAAGUCUAUUUGCGUUUUGUCUUUAAUUUGAUCCUUCAGUUACUCUUGGGCAGUAUUAAGUCAGCUUUUGGUAAGUCAGCAAAACUCAUGGAUUAAACCACUACCUCACUCAAGGACUGGAACAAGUUUUGGACUACUGAGGUAAGGGGAUUACCUAACUCUGGGUAAUGGAAUCUUUUUGGAGGUUUUGGUACCCUGUUUGAUUGUCUUAGGUUAUGAUCUGCACUUGAGCUUGCAUACGCAUUAACUUUUUCUGUUUCUUCUUCCAGAUCCUGUGCAUCCUUGGACAUAUCCUUUUCCUCUUUAUCAGCAGCUGGAUCGGAUGAUGGCUUGGAAAUGUUUUUGGCAUCUGGAACACUUUCCUCCGGAGAAGCAAGGAAACCACAAGUGGUGUGGUCAUGAUACUUGGACUCGGGAUCGUUAAUGGGAAGGACUCAUGCGAU